Molecule: ribosomal RNA, 1399 nt
Filed under: uncultured bacterium
Lineage: Bacteria
Description: bacterial SSU rRNA
Rfam family: Bacterial small subunit ribosomal RNA
Source: RNAcentral
AGAGUUUGAUCCUGGCUCAGGAUGAACGCUAGCGGCAGGCCUAACACAUGCAAGUCGAGGGGCAGCGCGGGGUAGCAAUACUCUGGCGGCGACCGGCGGAAGGGUGCGUAACGCGUGAGCAACUUGCCCGUAUCUGGGACAUAACCGGUGGAAACGCCGCCUAAUUUCCCAUAACAACUGAGGCCGCAUGACCUUAGUUUGAAAGAUUCGUCGGAUACGGAUGGGCUCGCGUGACAUUAGCUAGUUGGAGUGGUAACGGCACACCAAGGCUACGAUGUCUAGGGGUUCUGAGAGGAAGAUCCCCCACACUGGAACUGAGACACGGUCCAGACUCCUACGGGAGGCAGCAGUGAGGAAUAUUGGUCAAUGGGCGGAAGCCUGAACCAGCCAUGCCGCGUGAAGGAAUAAGGCCCUAUGGGUUGUAAACUUCUUUUGACGGGGAGCAAUAAGGCGCACGUGUGCGUUGAUGAGAGUACCCAGCGAAUAAGCAUCGGCUAACUCCGUGCCAGCAGCCGCGGUAAUACGGAGGAUGCAAGCGUUAUCCGGAUUUAUUGGGUUUAAAGGGUGCGUAGGCUGUUGUUCAAGUCAGAGGUGAAAGCCCGGGGCUCAACUCCGGAACUGCCUUUGAUACUGGGCGGCUUGAAUCCUGUUGCCGUGGGAGGAAUGAGUAGUGUAGCGGUGAAAUGCAUAGAUAUUACUCAGAACACCGAUUGCGAAGGCAUCUCACGAAGCAGGUAUUGACGCUGAGGCACGAAAGCGUGGGGAUCAAACAGGAUUAGAUACCCUGGUAGUCCACGCAGUAAACGAUGAUGAAUAGCCGUCGGCGAUACACAAGUCGGUGGCCAAGAGAAAGCGAUAAGUUCAUCCCCCGGGGGAGUACGACCGCAGGGUUGAAACUCAAAGAAAUUGACGGGGGCCCGCCCAAGCGGAGGAACAUGUGGUUUAUUUCGAUGUUACGCGAGGACCCUUUACCCGGGCUCGAACGGCUGGGGAGGAGAUCCAGAGAUGGUGAGUUCCUUCGGGACACCAGUCGAGGUGCUGCAUGGUGGUCGUCAGCUCGUGUCGUGAGAUGUGGGUUCAAGUGCCUUAACGAGCGCAACCCUUGCUGCCAGUUACCAGCGCAUAAUGGCGGGGACUCUGGCGGGACUGCCACCGUAAGGUGUGAGGAAGGCGGGGAUGACGUCAAAUCAGCACGGCCCUUACGUCCGGGGCGACACACGUGUUACAAUGGUGGGUACAGAGGGCGGCUACCUGGCGACAGGAUGCAAAUCUCGAAAACCCAUCCCAGUUCGGAUCGGAGUCUGCAACUCGACUCCGUGAAGUUGGAUUCGCUAGUAAUCGCGCAUCAGCCAUGGCGCGGUGAAUACGUUCCCGGGCCUUGCACACACCGCCCGUCAAG